GAUGAACGCUGGCGGCGUGCCUAAUACAUGCAAGUCGAGCGAACAGACGAGGAGCUUGCUCCUCUGACGUUAGCGGCGGACGGGUGAGUAACACGUGGAUAACCUACCUAUAAGACUGGGAUAACUUCGGGAAACCGGAGUUAAUACCGGAUAACAUGUUGAACCGCAUGGUUCAACAGUGAAAGACGGUCUUGCUGUCACUUAUAGAUGGAUCCGCGCCGCAUUAGCUAGUUGGUAAGGUAACGGCUUACCAAGGCAACGAUGCGUAGCCGACCUGAGAGGGUGAUCGGCCACACUGGAACUGAGACACGGUCCAGACUCCUACGGGAGGCAGCAGUAGGGAAUCUUCCGCAAUGGGCGAAAGCCUGACGGAGCAACGCCGCGUGAGUGAAGAAGGUCUUCGGAUCGUAAAACUCUGUUAUUAGGGAAGAACAAAUGUGUAAGUAACUAUGCACGUCUUGACGGUACCUAAUCAGAAAGCCACGGCUAACUACGUG
RNAcentral lists this ribosomal RNA (497 nucleotides) under uncultured bacterium. RNAcentral describes it as "partial 16S ribosomal RNA". It matches the Rfam family "Bacterial small subunit ribosomal RNA", at positions 28 to 507 of the family's 1533-position model. The record is from RNAcentral.